AUUGAACGCUGGCGGCAUGCCUUACACAUGCCAGUCGAACGGUAACGGGCCUUCGGGUGCCGUCGAGUGGCGAACGGGUGCGUAAUACAUCGGAACGUGCCCGAUCGUGGGGGAUAACGAGGCGAAAGCUUUGCUAAUACCGCAUACGAUCUACGGAUGAAAGCCGGGGACCGCAAGGCCUUGCGCGGACGGAGCGGCCGAUGGCAGCUUAGGUAGUUGGUGGGAUAAAAGCUUACCAAGCCGACGAUCUGUAGCUGGUCUGAGAGGAUGAUCAGCCACACUGGGACUGAGACACGGCCCAGACUCCUACGGGAGGCAGCAGUGGGGAAUUUUGGACAAUGGGCGCAAGCCUGAUCCAGCCAUGCCGCGUGAAGGAUGAAGGCCUUCGGGUUGUAAACUGCUUUUGUACGGAACGAAAAGCCUUCUUUUAAUACAGGAGGGUCAUGACGGUACCGUAAGAAUAAGCACCGGCUAACUACGUG
RNAcentral lists this ribosomal RNA (482 nucleotides) under uncultured bacterium. RNAcentral's name for it is "partial 16S ribosomal RNA". It matches the Rfam family "Bacterial small subunit ribosomal RNA", at positions 30 to 507 of the family's 1533-position model. The record is from RNAcentral.